GAUGAACGCUGGCGGCGUGCCUAAUACAUGCAAGUCGAGCGAACAGACGAGGAGCUUGCUCCUCUGACGUUAGCGGCGGACGGGUGAGUAACACGUGGAUAACCUACCUAUAAGACUGGGAUAACUUCGGGAAACCGGAGCUAAUACCGGAUAAUAUAUUGAACCGCAUGGUUCAAUAGUGAAAGACGGUUUUGCUGUCACUUAUAGAUGGAUCCGCGCCGCAUUAGCUAGUUGGUAAGGUAACGGCUUACCAAGGCAACGAUGCGUAGCCGACCUGAGAGGGUGAUCGGCCACACUGGAACUGAAGCACGGUCCAGACGCCUACGGGAGGCAGCAGUAGGGAAUCUUCCGCAAUGGGCGAAAGCCUGACGGAGCAACGCCGCGUGAGUGAUGAAGGUCUUCGGAUCGUAAAACUCUGUUAUUAGGGAAGAACAAAUGUGUAAGUAACUAUGCACGUCUUGACGGUACCUAAUCAGAAAGCCACGGCUAACUACGUG
Molecule: ribosomal RNA, 497 nt
Filed under: uncultured bacterium
Lineage: Bacteria
Description: partial 16S ribosomal RNA
Rfam family: Bacterial small subunit ribosomal RNA
Source: RNAcentral